CGGCCGGCCCACUGGCAGCGGCGGCGGCGGCGGCGGCGGCGGCGAGGAGGGCGAGGCCGCAGGAUUCAGCACCCAAGCACCAGGACCAGACACCCAGCGAUGACCAGCUCGCCUGUCUCCAGAGUCGUCUACAACGGCAAGAGGAACAGCAGUCCCCGCUCCCCCACCAACAGCAGCGAGAUCUUCACGCCGGCACACGAGGAGAAUGUGCGCUUCAUUUAUGAAGCCUGGCAGGGUGUUGAACGAGACCUGCGCAGCCAGCUGUCUGGUGGAGAGCGGGGCCUAGUGGAGGAGUAUGUGGAGAAGGUUCCUAACCCCAGCCUGAAGACCUUCAAGCCCAUUGACCUGAGUGACCUGAAGCGCAGGAACACGCAGGAUGCCAAGAAGUCCUAGAGUGCCUGGCGCCAGUCCCCUGGCCUCCGGAAGAUCAGGGUGCACUUGAUGGUCUCAAGUUGCCCCUGUCACUGGGGGAACAGGGGUCUGGCUAUGUCAGCCCUUGUCCCUUUCCCCUGCCAGCUGCAUCUUGGGUAGCACCUGGCCCUGCCUACCCAGCCCUCUCUGCUGUUACCUGCCAUGCCUCGCGCCUCUCCUUCCUGGCCACCUGAGGUCAGAAAGGAAAAAAGGGACCUCUCUUCGGCUGUUGGGAUCUCGAAUGACCGGAAAUCAGGACUGUGCAAUCCCACCUGCAUCCAGUGUGGCCCUUUCCGUGGAGCCUGGACGUUUGGGGAGCUCCCUCAUCCCACUGUCCAUCUUGCCCCUUUCUUGCCUCAGUUUCAGAGUGGAGUCAACUCUGAGCAGAGGACAGUGCUGGCUCCUGAAGGGGCCUCUGGCGACCAGACCUGGUCUCCUGGUACCUGUAGCCCUGUGGCCACAGCAGUGCCCGUGAGCAGGGGCACUGAGGCUGACCUUGAAGGAGUGGUGCUGCCAGGCCUGUCCUGGCUUUCUGGGGUGUACUGGGAGGAUCACCAAGGCCCCCUUUUUUGUGCCCUCUUGAAUCCAGGUGUCUGUGUUGGAGACAGAGACUGAGGGUCUGUGAAUAAAGGCUGGUGGCACUGGA
Molecule: RNA transcript, 1057 nt
Organism: Microtus oregoni (creeping vole)
Lineage: Eukaryota; Metazoa; Chordata; Mammalia; Rodentia; Cricetidae
Gene name: mapk-regulated corepressor-interacting protein 1
Exons: 6
Source: RefSeq, a predicted model, not a curated record